UGCAAUUUAAACUUUUAUAAAUACAAAAGAAAGAAAAAUGAGAUAUGUGACAAACACCUCUAAUUAGGUAUACUUGUAAACAACAUGAAGGGAAGUCUUCGCAUAUGCACAGUCAAGCUGCGACUCUUCAAGAACACCUCGACAGCUUGUUUGUGUAGCACUUGUAAAUGACAUAGUUCAAUAUCAUUAUUCCUAUUUACAUAUAGAUAUCUUUUUCACAAGUCAUAUAUUUCUCAGUUUCUCGAUAAUCAAACAGUUUCAAAGUGUAAAGGCUGUGUUCUAGAAAAUAAUAGUACAAAGGAUGUCACAUUAAAAAUGAUAUAAAAACGAAACACUCAAAAGAAGCGGAGAACCAAAAGAAAACAGACAACAGAACGUCCCACAAUUGAGAAGUAGUAGUAGUAGUGAUGGAAAAAAUUGCAGGAUGUGUGUGCAAAAUUGUACAGUUGACAAAAAUACUAUGAUUAUAUCUACAUAAUGAUUGCAUUACUUGUAAAGUGUUGAUAUAAAUCUGUGUAUGAUUCCAUAAAAAUGAGACACCUUUCUCUAACAGUUGGUCUACCACACUAAAUCUAAAACAUUAUACAGUUGUGUUUUUUUGUAUAAGAGAACAUUUUCACUGCACAGAUCAAAUUUAAUACACCGUUAGUUUAUUUUUUCCCACUCUCGUCUUGUACAAAUAAUGAGUUUCUUAACUUCUGAGAAAAAAAAGCAAAAAACAAAACAAAAAAAACAAAUGAAGAUAAAAGAAAAAC
Long non-coding RNA from Sinocyclocheilus anshuiensis, 755 nucleotides. RefSeq lists it as uncharacterized. The transcript is spliced from 2 exons. The record is from RefSeq and is a predicted model, not a curated record. NCBI's taxonomy places the organism in Eukaryota, Metazoa, Chordata, Actinopteri, Cypriniformes, Cyprinidae.